This 308-nucleotide ribosomal RNA is filed under the name uncultured Actinomycetes bacterium. RNAcentral describes it as "bacterial SSU rRNA". It matches the Rfam family "Bacterial small subunit ribosomal RNA", at positions 335 to 657 of the family's 1533-position model. Lineage: Bacteria; Bacillati; Actinomycetota; Actinomycetes. The record is from RNAcentral.
ACUCCUACGGGAGGCAGCAGUGGGGAAUCUUGCGCAAUGGGCGAAAGCCUGACGCAGCAACGCCGCGUGAGGGACGAAGGCUUUCUGAGUUGUAAACCUCUUUCGACAGGAACGAUUGUGACGGUACCUGUAGAAGAAGCACCGGCCAACUAUGUGCCAGCAGCCGCGGUGAUACAUAGGGUGCAAGCGUUAUUCGGAUUUAUUGGGCGUAAAGAGCUCGUAGGCGGUUCAAUAAGUGACGUGUUAAUCCCCCAGGCUUAACCUGGGGCCGCCACGUCAAACUGUUGUGACUNUGAGUUUGGUAGGGG